GUAGGGUGCGAGCGUUAAUCGGAAUUACUGGGCGUAAAGCGUGCGCAGGCGGUUUGGUAAGUCAGAUGUGAAAUCCCCGGGCUCAACCUGGGAACUGCAUUUGAGACUGCCAAGCUGGAGUGUGGCAGAGGGGGGUGGAAUUCCACGUGUAGCAGUGAAAUGCGUAGAGAUGUGGAGGAACACCGAUGGCGAAGGCAGCCCCCUGGGUCACUACUGACGCUCAUGCACGAAAGCGUGGGGAGCAAAC
Molecule: ribosomal RNA, 247 nt
Filed under: Accumulibacter sp.
Lineage: Bacteria; Pseudomonadati; Pseudomonadota; Betaproteobacteria
Description: Candidatus Accumulibacter sp. partial 16S ribosomal RNA
Rfam family: Bacterial small subunit ribosomal RNA
Source: RNAcentral